Molecule: unclassified non-coding RNA, 217 nt
Filed under: Hevea brasiliensis (rubber tree)
Lineage: Eukaryota; Viridiplantae; Streptophyta; Magnoliopsida; Malpighiales; Euphorbiaceae
Source: RNAcentral
UUUCUCUGUUCAAAACUCCUCCCAAAGCACAAGGGAUGAGAACGUCACAUUCAUGCGUUAGCAAUUCAUCAGAAUUCAUCACAUCCGCACCAGCAAAAUCGAUGAGCUUUCCUGUUUUUUCUUUAUGACUGAGUAAAGCUGGUAUAUCGAUCCCAUUGGAGUUCUUGAUCGCUCCAGUUAUGUCACUCACUGCAACUACCUUUCCACCUCUCUCAUG